UACGGAGGGUGCAAGCGUUAAUCGGAAUUACUGGGCGUAAAGCGCACGCAGGCGGUCUGUUAAGUCAGAUGUGAAAUCCCCGGGCUCAACCCGGGAACUGCAUCUGAUACUGGCAGGCUUGAGUUUCGUAGAGGGGGGUAGAAUUCCAGGUGUAGCGGUGAAAUGCGUAGAGAUCUGGAGGAAUACCGGUGGCGAAGGCGGCCCCCUGGACGAAGACUGACGCUCAGGUGCGAAAGCGUAGGGAGCAACAGG
RNAcentral lists this ribosomal RNA (252 nucleotides) under uncultured bacterium. Its description in RNAcentral is "partial 16S ribosomal RNA". It matches the Rfam family "Bacterial small subunit ribosomal RNA", at positions 524 to 775 of the family's 1533-position model. The record is from RNAcentral.